CAGCCGCCGCGGUAAUACCAGCCCCGCGAGUGGUCGGGACGGUUAUUGGGCCUAAAGCGCCCGUAGCCGGCCCGGCAAGUCCCUCCUUAAAGCCUCGGGCCCAACCCGAGGACGGGGGGGAUACUGCCGGGCUAGGGGGCGGGAGAGGCCGGCGGUACUCCCGGGGUAGGGGCGAAAUCCGUUAAUCCCGGGAGGACCACCAGUGGCGAAGGCGGCCGGCUGGAACGCGCCCGACGGUGAGGGGCGAAAGCCGGGGGAGCGAACCGGAUUAGAUACCCGGGUAGCCCCGGCGGUAAACGAUGCGGGCUAGCUGUUGGGCGGGCUUAGAGCCCGCCCAGUGGCGCAGGGAAGCCGUUAAGUCCGCCGCCUGGGGAGUACGGCCGCAAGGCUGAAACUUAAAGGAAUUGGCGGG
This 412-nucleotide ribosomal RNA is filed under the name uncultured microorganism. RNAcentral describes it as "bacterial SSU rRNA". It matches the Rfam family "Archaeal small subunit ribosomal RNA", at positions 459 to 872 of the family's 1478-position model. The record is from RNAcentral.